Caenorhabditis elegans is the source of this 201-nucleotide non-coding RNA. The record is from Ensembl. NCBI's taxonomy places the organism in Eukaryota, Metazoa, Nematoda, Chromadorea, Rhabditida, Rhabditidae.
UUUUGAAUAUUGAUUUUGCACGAAUCCAAGUAUAUUAUCAACUGAUACUGCUUUCGUUACUGAACAAAGAUGUGGGAAGACCCAGAAAAGAGAAUUUAAAGGAGCAGCUCAAUAGAAGCAGCACUUAGAGCUAACGCUGGAAAAGACAUUGCUCCUCUGGCGAAUGGUGAGCAUGAAGGAAUAACAGAAUUAGAUAUCACU